CCUACGGGAGGCAGCAGUGAGGAAUAUUGGUCAAUGGGCGUAAGCCUGAACCAGCCAAGUCGCGUGAGGGAUGAAGGUUCUAUGGAUCGUAAACCUCUUUUAUAAGGGAAUAAAGUGCGGGACGUGUCCCGUUUUGUAUGUACCUUAUGAAUAAGCAUCGGCUAACUCCGUGCCAGCAGCCGCGGUAAUACGGAGGAUCCGAGCGUUAUCCGGAUUUAUUGGGUUUAAAGGGUGCGUAGGCGGCCAUUUAAGUCAGCGGUGAAAGUGUGUGGCUCAACCUUUGAAGUGCCGUUGAAACUGGUGGGCUUGAGUAUGUUUGAGGUAGGCGGAAUGCGUGGUGUAGCGGUGAAAUGCAUAGAUAUCACGCAGAACCCCGAUUGCGAAGGCAGCCUGCC
This 395-nucleotide ribosomal RNA is filed under the name uncultured bacterium. Its description in RNAcentral is "partial 16S ribosomal RNA". It matches the Rfam family "Bacterial small subunit ribosomal RNA", at positions 338 to 730 of the family's 1533-position model. The record is from RNAcentral.